AUAUGCAUAAUUAAUUAAGGUUGCUAAUGGAGCCCGAACCAUACAUUAUUCCCUGUCCAUUCCUGCUUGAUUUAUUUUACAGUUUAAAUGCAUUAUGUUAUCUGGUUUAUCUAUUCUAUGGUUUUAAAUGCAUGUAUCACUGUCUUACUUCACCACUGUGUGAUUUUGAAAUUUAAGAUAUGAUUGUAUUACCGGGUGCAUGUUUUUUUUUUAUGU
RNAcentral lists this long non-coding RNA (216 nucleotides) under Carica papaya (papaya). RNAcentral's name for it is "long non-coding RNA (CPAP_LNC003107)". The record is from RNAcentral. Lineage: Eukaryota; Viridiplantae; Streptophyta; Magnoliopsida; Brassicales; Caricaceae.